GGAGGGGUGCGAGCGUUGUCCGGAAUCACUGGGCGUAAAGGGCGCGUAGGCGGGCGCAGUAAGUAGGGGGGGGUGAAAUCUCAUGGCUCAACCGUGAAACGGCCUCCUAAACUGCUGUGCUUGAGCACGGUAGAGGCAGAUGGAAUUCCCGGUGUAGCGGUGGAAUGCGUAGAUAUCGGGAAGAACACCAGUGGCGAAGGCGGUCUGCUGGGCCGUUGCUGACGCUGAGGCGCGACAGCGUGGGGAGCAAACAGGAUUAGAUACCCUGGUAGUCCACGCCGUAAACGAUGGGUACUAGGCGUCGGGGGGAGCGACCCCUUCGGUGCCGUCGCUAACGCAGUAAGUACCCCGCCUGGGGAGUACGGCCGCAAGGCUG
Molecule: ribosomal RNA, 376 nt
Filed under: uncultured organism
Description: partial 16S ribosomal RNA
Rfam family: Bacterial small subunit ribosomal RNA
Source: RNAcentral